AAUCAAGCGCGAGAAGGGCGUUUGGUGAAUGCCUUGGCAGCAAGAGGCGAUGAAAGACGUGAUACUCUGCGAUAAGCCAUGGGGAGCUGAGAAUAAGCUUUGAUCCAUGGAUUUCUGAAUGGGGCAACCCACCUGACAAUCUUCGAUUGUCAGAUGAUUUAUUGUUUUGCCACUCCGUGCCUGCGCAAUGCAGGUACACCGAUCCUUUGGAUCGGCACUGGUCUUCGGAUCAGGGGUGGGGAGCGAGAUCAUCUGAGGAUCGCGGGUUGAAACAGGUACUUAAGACCUGAAUACAUAGGGUUUUAAGAGCAAACCCGGGGAACUGAAACAUCUAAGUACCCGGAGGAAAGGAAAUCAAUUGAUACUCCCCUAGUAGCGGCGAGCGAACGGGGACCAGCCGAGCCGUGAGUGUGAAUAGAACCUGUUGGGAAGCAGGACCAUAGGGGGUGAUAGUCCCGUAUAUGAAGCAUGAUCGGACGUAUUAAGUAGGGCGGAACACGUGAAAUUCUGUCUGAAGAUCGGAGGACCACCUUCGAAGGCUAAGUACUCCUUGCUGACCGAUAGUGAACCAGUACCGUGAGGGAAAGGUGAAAAGCACCCCGACGAGGGGAGUGAAACAGUACCUGAAACCGAACGCCUACAAUCAGUCGGAGGCUCCUUGCGAGCUGACGGCGUACCUUUUGUAUAAUGGGUCAUCGACUUGGUCUCACGAGCAAGCUUAAGCCGUUAGGUGUAGGCGUAGCGAAAGCGAGUCUUAAUAGGGCGUAUGAGUUCGUGGGAUCAGACCCGAAACCGAGUGAUCUAGGCAUGGCCAGGUUGAAGGUAAGGUAACACUUACUGGAGGACCGAACCCACAUCCGUUGAAAAGGAUCGGGAUGAGCUGUGCCUAGGGGUGAAAGGCCAAUCAAACUCGGAGAUAGCUGGUUCUCUGCGAAAUCUAUUUAGGUAGAGCGUCAUCCGAAUACCCCGGGGGGUAGAGCACUGGAUGGGUAAUGGGGCCCCACAGGCUUACUGAUCCUAACCAAACUCCGAAUACCCGGGAGUACUAGAUGGCAGACACACUGCGGAUGCUAACGUCCGUAGUGGAGAGGGAAACAACCCUGACCUACGACUAAGGCCCCCAAUUCAUGGCUAAGUGGGAAAGCAGGUGGGACGACCAAAACAACCAGGAGGUUGGCUUAGAAGCAGCCAUCCUUUAAAGAUAGCGUAACAGCUCACUGGUCUAAAUAAGUUGUCCUGCGGCGAAGAUGUAACGGGGCUCAAGCCAUGAGCCGAAGUCUAGGGAUGCGUAAGCAUCGGUAGCAGAGCGUAGUGUGACAUAGAACCUUGUCUAUAUUGCCGCCGGUUAUGCGGCGCGGGCAACCGCGCUCAAGUAGCCGAAUAGGCGGUAGCGCAGACAUAGGUUCUUUCGAUGAAGCCGGGGCGUGAGUCAUCCGGUGGAGAGAUCACUAGUGAGAAUGAUGACAUGAGUAGCGACAAAGAGUGUGAGAGACACUCUCGCCGAAAGUCCAAGGGUUCCUGCUUAAAGCUAAUCUGAGCAGGGUAAGCCGGCCCCUAAGCCGAGGCCGAAAGGCGUAGGCGAUGGGAACUAGGUUAAUAUUCCUAGGCCAGGAGGAUGUGACGGAUCACAGGUGUAGUUCAAUCUUAUCGGAUUGAUUGGGCUGCUGAGUGGUUCCUGGAAAUAGCCCUCCAUCAGACCGUACCCUAAACCGACACAGGUGGACUGGUAGAGCAUACCAAGGCGCUUGAGAGAACGAUGUUGAAGGAACUCGGCAAAAUACCUCCGUAAGUUCGCGAGAAGGAGGCCCGGUUCCUAGGCAACUAGGGGCUGGGGGCACAAACCAGGGGGUGGCGACUGUUUAUUAAAAACACAGGGCUCUGCGAAGUCGCAAGACGACGUAUAGGGUCUGACGCCUGCCCGGUGCCUGAAGGUUAAAAGGAGAGGUGAGAGCCUUGAAUUGAAGCCCAGGUAAACGGCGGCCGUAACUAUAACGGUCCUAAGGUAGCGAAAUUCCUUGUCGGGUAAGUUCCGACCUGCACGAAUGGCGUAACGACUUCCCCGCUGUCUCCAACAUCGACUCAGCGAAAUUGAAUUGCCUGUCAAGAUGCAGGCUUCCCGCGGUUAGACGGAAAGACCCCGUGCACCUUUACUACAGCUUCGCACUGGCAUCAGGAUUGUGAUGUGCAGGAUAGGUGGUGGGCUUUGAAGCAGGAACGCAAGUCCCUGUGGAGCCACCCUUGAGAUACCACCCUUCGCACUCUUGAUGUCUAACCGCGGUCCGUUAUCCGGAUCCGGGACCCUGCGUGGCGGGUAGUUUGACUGGGGCGGUCGCCUCCUAAAGCGUAACGGAGGCGCGCGAAGGUUGGCUCAGAGCGGUCGGAAAUCGCUCGUUGAGUGCAAUGGCAGAAGCCAGCCUGACUGCAAGACUGACAAGUCGAGCAGAGUCGAAAGACGGCCAUAGUGAUCCGGUGGUCCCGAGUGGAAGGGCCAUCGCUCAACGGAUAAAAGGUACGCCGGGGAUAACAGGCUGAUACUGCCCAAGAGUCCAUAUCGACGGCAGUGUUUGGCACCUCGAUGUCGGCUCAUCUCAUCCUGGGGCUGGAGCAGGUCCCAAGGGUACGGCUGUUCGCCGUUUAAAGAGGUACGUGAGCUGGGUUUAGAACGUCGUGAGACAGUUCGGUCCCUAUCUGCCGUGGGUGUAGGAGACUUGAGAGGAGUUGCCCCUAGUACGAGAGGACCGGGGUGAACGAUCCACUGGUGGACCAGUUGUCGUGCCAACGGCAGUGCUGGGUAGCUAUGAUCGGACAGGAUAACCGCUGAAGGCAUCUAAGCGGGAAGCCCCCCUCAAAACAAGGUCUCCCUGAGGGCCGUGGAAGACCACCACGUCAAUAGGCCGGAGAUGUAAGCGCAGUAAUGCGUUCAGUUGACCGGUACUAAUCGCCCGAUAGGCUUGAUUUG
Ribosomal RNA from Rhodobacteraceae bacterium KLH11, 2959 nucleotides. It matches the Rfam family "Bacterial large subunit ribosomal RNA". NCBI's taxonomy places the organism in Bacteria, Pseudomonadati, Pseudomonadota, Alphaproteobacteria, Rhodobacterales, Paracoccaceae. The record is from Rfam.